GACGAACGCUGGCGGCGUGCCUAAUACAUGCAAGUAGAACGCUGAAGAGAGGAGCUUGCUCUUCUUGGAUGAGUUGCGAACGGGUGAGUAACGCGUAGGUAACCUGCCUUGUAGCGGGGGAUAACUAUUGGAAACGAUAGCUAAUACCGCAUAACAAUGGAUGACACAUGUCAUUUAUUUGAAAGGGGCAAUUGCUCCACUACAAGAUGGACCUGCGUUGUAUUAGCUAGUAGGUGAGGUAACGGCUCACCUAGGCGACGAUACAUAGCCGACCUGAGAGGGUGCUCGGCCACACUGGGACUGAGACACGGCCCAGACUCCUACGGGAGGCAGCAGUAGGGAAUCUUCGGCAAUGGGGGCAACCCUGACCGAGCAACGCCGCGUGAGUGAAGAAGGGUUUCGGAUCGUAAAGCUCUGUUGUAAGUCAAGAACGAGUGUGAGAGUGGAAAGUUCACACUGUGACGGUAGCUUAACAGAAAGGGACGGCUAACUACGUG
This 497-nucleotide ribosomal RNA is filed under the name uncultured bacterium. RNAcentral describes it as "partial 16S ribosomal RNA". It matches the Rfam family "Bacterial small subunit ribosomal RNA", at positions 28 to 507 of the family's 1533-position model. The record is from RNAcentral.